GCCCCUGUAGCUCAGUUAGGAUAGAGCAGCGGUUUCCUAAACCGCGUGCCGCCUGUUCGAGUCAGGCCAGGGGCG
This 75-nucleotide transfer RNA is filed under the name Candidatus Omnitrophota bacterium. Its description in RNAcentral is "tRNA-Arg". It matches the Rfam family "tRNA". Rfam says of the family: Transfer RNA (tRNA) molecules are approximately 80 nucleotides in length. Their secondary structure includes four short double-helical elements and three loops (D, anti-codon, and T loops). The record is from RNAcentral. Lineage: Bacteria; Pseudomonadati; Candidatus Omnitrophota.